Panicum virgatum (switchgrass) is the source of this 1063-nucleotide long non-coding RNA. RefSeq lists it as uncharacterized. Lineage: Eukaryota; Viridiplantae; Streptophyta; Magnoliopsida; Poales; Poaceae. The record is from RefSeq and is a predicted model, not a curated record. The transcript is spliced from 4 exons.
UUCGAACCCCAGCGAACACAGCAAGAAAAAUUUUCCCUCCCGCGCGCCUCUCCCGAACCUCGCCUCCCGCGGACAGCGCCCUGCGCCGGCCGCCGCGACCCCCACCGAACCCCCCCUUGCGCCGGCCGCCGCGACCAGCACCCAACCCUCCCUUGCGCCGGCCCCCUCGCCCCCAACGAAUCCGCCCUGCAACGGAGCAGGGCCCCCCGCCGAAACCCCCCUGCGCCUCUGAAGAACAACCCUUCUAGGGUUGGGGGAAAUUUCCUGCAGCGGAGGCGGUCGGCGAUGAGGUCACACCAGGGCUUGGAGACGCACUUGAAUCGGAAGCGGGACUUGGCGGCGACGCGCGAGAGGAUCUCCACGAGGGCAUCGUCGGAGGGGCACGCCACCAGAGCCCGCCGCACCAUCCGAGCGAGGCGCACGGCAGCGAGGCGCGCCUCCUCCCGGCGUCCACGCGGUGCCUGCUCCUGGCCGGCGGCUUGCGCUCGGGCUCUCGGCUCCUGUCCUCCCGCUAGGCGCUCGGGUCCUGUCAGCCACGGGUCCUCCUGCUCGCGACGGUGCUCAAAUCGGCCGCCACCAAGAUGGCAGCGGGGACGGCGGCGGUGGGGUGGUCGAUGGUGCACGGUGGACACGGUCUUCAACGGCGGCACGCUGGGGAUCAAGCCGCACGCCAUCGAGGUCACCCCUACCGCCGGCCUGGUUGUGCUCGACUCCAUCAAUAGCACAAUCUACAGGUCCUGCUGCCACUGUCACCAUUUGUGAUGGCGUGAAGGGAAAUGGUGCAGCUACUGGGCAAAGAUGGGGAAUCUGAUCCAGAAAGAGCCUAUAGUUCAUUUUUGAAGAUGGAGUUCUCGUUUGGGAUGAAGAGAUGGAUGCAGAGGGAGUGGAAGGAGGAGGAGGUGGUCAAGGAGGAAGUAAAUGAGCCUGACGAGAUAUUCCCAUAGCAUUUGAUUAACUCCUGAUCAGUUUAUUUUUUUUUUAGGCUAUGAACAAUCGCUAUCUGAUGUGCUGCUGAAAUGAGGGUAUAGAGCUUUGAGUGGAUCAGGUUUUGUAGAAGGAAAAA